RNAcentral lists this ribosomal RNA (253 nucleotides) under uncultured bacterium. RNAcentral describes it as "partial 16S ribosomal RNA". It matches the Rfam family "Bacterial small subunit ribosomal RNA", at positions 524 to 776 of the family's 1533-position model. The record is from RNAcentral.
GACAGAGGGGGCAAGCGUUGUUCGGAAUUACUGGGCGUAAAGGGCGCGUAGGCGGCCUGCUAAGUCGAACGUGAAAUCCCUGGGCUCAACCCAGGAACUGCGUCCGAUACUGGUUGGCUUGAAUCCGGGAGAGGGAUGUGGAAUUCCAGGUGUAGCGGUGAAAUGCGUAGAUAUCUGGAGGAACACCGGUGGCGAAGGCGACAUCCUGGACCGGUAUUGACGCUGAGGCGCGAAAGCCAGGGGAGCAAACGGG